CCUAACACAUGCAAGUCGAACGGUAACAGGAAGCAGCUUGCUGCUUCGCUGACGAGUGGCGGACGGGUGAGUAAUGUCUGGGAAGCUGCCUGAUGGAGGGGGAUAACUACUGGAAACGGUAGCUAAUACCGCAUAAUGUCGCAAGACCAAAGAGGGGGACCUUCGGGCCUCUUGCCAUCGGAUGUGCCCAGAUGGGAUUAGCUUGUUGGUGGGGUAACGGCUCACCAAGGCGACGAUCCCUAGCUGGUCUGAGAGGAUGACCAGCCACACUGGAACUGAGACACGGUCCAGACUCCUACGGGAGGCAGCAGUGGGGAAUAUUGCACAAUGGGCGCAAGCCUGAUGCAGCCAUGCCGCGUGUAUGAAGAAGGCCUUCGGGUUGUAAAGACGGU
RNAcentral lists this ribosomal RNA (392 nucleotides) under uncultured bacterium. Its description in RNAcentral is "bacterial SSU rRNA". It matches the Rfam family "Bacterial small subunit ribosomal RNA", at positions 47 to 436 of the family's 1533-position model. The record is from RNAcentral.